CUUUAACAACAUUUGUUUACACUAUAAAUAAUCCAAACGUAAUAAAUUUCCAACCAAAAACAACAGAUAAUUACAAAAUAAUCUCAGUUGAUAAAUGCAUUCCUAAUCAACAAAUCAGUCACCACGAUAAUAUCAAUAUUAUUUUCAGUAUCAAACAGUUUAUACUGGAUUUCAAAAGUUUUAAAACAAUCUCAAAACAAGUCAAAACCAAUCCCAAAUCAAUUUUAAGAGAAAUUUCAAAACAGCACAUUGCCCAAAAUAUCUUCAACUUAUGUUGCCUAGCUAGUGGGGCAGCACAUUGUCAUGCAUACUCAUAUGAUCUUCAAGUUCAGUGGCAAUUUCAAACUCGGCAUCGCAGACACAACAGAUAUAACCAAUACCAGUUGCUUCUCCUGCUUCUAAUUCCUUACAGACAUCAC
This 419-nucleotide long non-coding RNA is filed under the name Paramuricea clavata. The record is from RNAcentral. Lineage: Eukaryota; Metazoa; Cnidaria; Anthozoa; Malacalcyonacea; Plexauridae.